RNAcentral lists this long non-coding RNA (703 nucleotides) under Olea europaea (common olive). Its description in RNAcentral is "long non-coding RNA (OEUR_LNC004463)". Lineage: Eukaryota; Viridiplantae; Streptophyta; Magnoliopsida; Lamiales; Oleaceae. The record is from RNAcentral.
UGCCAAAUCAUUAUGAAAAGUUACAAUGUUUCCUCCAAAAAAUUGCCAGAAUUCAUAUAAAAUUGACCUCCAACGGUCACUAAAUUACAACCAUGCGACCGCAUGGUGUGAUGCCAUGUGGUCGCAUGGUUUAUGCUAACGCCAGCCUCCAAGUUUCUGGCCAUGGCCAUGCACUAUUAGCCUAUGCAGUCGCAUGGGCCAAAGUAUUGGCUCCCAUCUCCUCUUUCGUUCCACACUUGUGUUUAUUGAUUUAUUGAACAACAUUUUCCAUCAUUAUAUGGGGGGAUCAAAGAAGAAAUAUAGGAUUAUGGUUGAAACCUAUUAGUUCUUGAGUAUGCUCUGGUGCAAUUGUUUUCCUCUCUUCCCUGUUGUAAACUUCAUUUGAUUUUGAUGAAACAAGAUUAAUAAACUUCGCAAUAGGAAAAAAACACAUGAAAAUCUCAUAGCCUAUAGAAGUUAACGUGGAACAUUAUGGAAUGAACUUGACGAGGCAGGUUUUAGAUUUAAAAAUGACAUGUCAGUCAUCUAUUAUUUACUUACUUUAUCCCCCUUUUUAACCUCGCCGUGGCAUCGUUUUGAUCAUUUAUCAUACACCUUCCCUGCACAUUAUUCUCCAAUGAGCCAUGGGUGUGGAGCUCGUAAUGAAUCAGACAAACUUUGUUUCACAAUCAGAAAAAACACUAUGCUAGAAGUUGCUUCUGGC